RNAcentral lists this ribosomal RNA (497 nucleotides) under uncultured bacterium. RNAcentral's name for it is "partial 16S ribosomal RNA". It matches the Rfam family "Bacterial small subunit ribosomal RNA", at positions 28 to 507 of the family's 1533-position model. The record is from RNAcentral.
GAUGAACGCUGGCGGCGUGCCUAAUACAUGCAAGUCGAGCGAACAGACGAGGAGCUUGCUCCUCUGACGUUAGCGGCGGACGGGUGAGUAACACGUGGAUAACCUACCUAUAAGACGGGGAUAACUUCGGGAAACCGGAGCUAAUACCGGAGAAUAUAUUGAACCGCAUGGUUCAAUAGUGAAAGACGGUUUUGCUGUCACUUAUAGAUGUAUCCGCGCCGCAUUAGGUAGUUGGUAAGGUAAAGGCUUUCCAAGGCAACGAUGCGUAGCCGACCUGAGAGGGUGAGCCGCCCCGAGAGAGUGUAGACACGCUCUAGAACCCUACGGGAGCCCACAGUAGGGAAGCUGCCGGCAGGGGCGAAUGCCUCACGGUGCGACGACGCGUGAGGGAUGAAGGUCUUCGGAUCGUAAACGUCUGUUAUUUGGGAAGCACAAAUGUGUAAGUAACUAUGCACGUCUUGACGGUACCUAAUCAGAAAGCCACGGCUAACUACGUG